AACGCCUCUAAGUCAGAAUCCGUGCUAGAAAGCAAUGAUGACUACCUCUGGAUGAUCUUAGGCGAACAAGAAUAGAACGGCAGCGGUCGUUCCCGAGUCUCAACGCUCCGAAGCAGAGAAAAGCUGCGAGGAGCUGCAAGGAACAAAAUCUAGAAUGUUCAGGGAUAAAUCUUAUGCAGACGACUUAAACAAG
Molecule: ribosomal RNA, 193 nt
Filed under: uncultured Symbiodinium
Lineage: Eukaryota; Dinophyceae; Suessiales; Symbiodiniaceae
Description: partial Eukaryotic large subunit ribosomal RNA
Source: RNAcentral